Tigriopus californicus is the source of this 2203-nucleotide long non-coding RNA. RefSeq lists it as uncharacterized. The record is from RefSeq and is a predicted model, not a curated record. The transcript has 2 exons. Lineage: Eukaryota; Metazoa; Arthropoda; Copepoda; Harpacticoida; Harpacticidae.
CAAAUUAUCCUACGGCUCGCUAGAGUAUUCAAGUGGUGCUCCGAGUACGAAUUCUGUCAGUUUAGGUGGAAGUUGAUCGAUGGGUAGUGUUGAAGUUGAGACACACAACCGCAGGGUCUCCAGCAGACAUCGAGGAUGAUGUGCCCAAUAGAUGAUGACCCAAGGGUCCUGAUAUGGGGAUAUGACAGGAGACGUGAUUGAUAUACCGAUAUAUUUAAUUGAUGGCAUCGGCUCAUUCGGAAAUGUCCAUCAUCAUGAAGAUCGGUAUUAAUAGUUUGCCACGGGUGACACAUGACUUGUUGCCCUAGUUUCCGCUGACUUUCUAAAGUUGGGCAUAUUGAACACGAAAGGUUGGGCAGCCAUUUAUUGAUUGAACUUCGACAGGUUUCUUGCUUUGCCACCAUGAGUGUUUUGAAAGGGGCAAAAUAGAGAUCGGUUUCUAUAAGUCAUCAAGUGCUUUCAAAUAAUUAGAUUUUCUGGCUUCUCUUCAAUCGGUACAAACUGACAUGACAUAUUUGCAUAAUUGAUGGAGAAGUCGCAGUUCAAGAAAUGCGCUAGAAUGUCAUUUGAGGGUGUAUUCAACAUCCUAGUCAAUUAGCAUUCAGCAAAUAUUGCUUAGAUCAUCAUCGUCGAAACUAAGCAGUUUUGAGCAAUUGCAUUGGCUGCGUUUUUGUUGAAUCAAGGCCAAGACCUUCAAGAGUUGCUCAAUGCUAAUGCGAGUCCAAAAGGAAUAAUUAGGCUGAUGCUAAAAGUGUACGAAAAGAUGCUUAUCAAGUGGCAUCAAAGUAAGCAUGUAUUUGCUAAUAGGACUUUUCCAUUGACCCCGAACCCCCUUGGAAAAUGAUAUUUUGGGACAACACGUUUUUAAAAGUGUAUUCUCGCUUUUUCAAAUCGACAGUACAUUCAUCCUACUUUGAUCGAGAAUAACGGGUUGGUCUUCUUUUUGGAUGAACAACCUUCAGAUCUGCAAUAGCGAGAUCAAUGAAGCAACUGAAAUGGCAAUGAAACUUUUAUGUUUUCGAUGGAUUCUCAGCUUUUAGUGCAUCAUAUUUUGGACAAAGGCGUGGCCAUGUAAAAUUAGAAUUCUCGAUGUGAAAACGAACAAUCGCUCUGUAAAAUAAUUUACAUGUUUCGGUCAUUCCUAAACACGACUCUCAUCCAGCAUUCGAGCCCUUGGUCCUAUUUGCUAAAAAUGGUGACUUUUUAUAGUAAUUUCCAUACUUGUUUCCAACCCAAUGACAUCAUUCGCACGCUUGGUUUUGUCCCAAAUUCUCGUGCAAGUACAUGCCAACAUCCAGUAACAAAAACAAUUGCAAUAGUUUGAUGUGGCGAGCAAGAUUUCGUUCUGCUUCGCUCAUUCGCUCAACAAUUCAUUUGAGUUGCACUCAUAAGCAAUUUGGCUAGAACUCGUAUAUAGAACUUUUUCUUCAAUCUCGUAAGCGAUUUGUCAGAACAUAUCAGCACAUUCUUCGAGGAAGUACAAGUUUAAUUUAGUGUUGAUAAGAGUAAAUCUUCGUUCUUCCCAAAGACUCAAUUCUACCCAACAAAUCUAGACAUGUAUACUCCCAAUCCCGCCUAUUACAGCUCCUUGAACGACCAAGGAGGUUUGCUCAAAUAUGUAUGGAACAAUAUCACUCCCAACGGAGCAGGCUCAAACUCCAACUACAACCACAAAAAUCAGUACAACAAUGGGCAACAACAACAGCGGCAACAACAACCACGACAGGCAGGCGGUCAACAAAACCAAAACAAUCCUCACCAAAAUCUCAGCCGAAGCUCGUUCAGACGUCUCGGCUAGUAUCUGAAGAAUCAUCGGAUGGUUUUUUUACUCCACGAGUUUCUCAACAAGCUUAUCAUUUUAAGACAGAUCACCGCAAUCAUUAUUACCGUAAUUAAUCGUAGCCCUUGUUGCUGUUAUUGCCGCCCUAGAAGAGACUGCAACAGCCAAAUCAACAACACCAACACGACACCAUCAUGCUCUCUCAUUUUGAUCGGAAUGACCAAUAUCAACGCUCCCAAAAAUUGCCCGACAGCUCCUUCAAUCGUCCUCAUUUUGAGGAUGAUGGCGAGAAGCUCUAUGAAGAAGAAAACGACCAACAUGAUCAUUUAGGAAUUUUUGACGAGGAAAAGAAAUUGCAAAAUUUGUAACCUAUGGCAUUAUUAUCAGAUUGAAUCCGACCCAAAUAGAGCUUCUUCUGUUGUA